UUGUUUUGCGGUUGCUGCGGC
This 21-nucleotide unclassified non-coding RNA is filed under the name Chlamydomonas reinhardtii. RNAcentral describes it as "small RNA Cre_4083". Lineage: Eukaryota; Viridiplantae; Chlorophyta; Chlorophyceae; Chlamydomonadales; Chlamydomonadaceae. The record is from RNAcentral.